GACGAACGCUGGCGGCGUGCCUAAUACAUGCAAGUCGAGCGCAGGAAAUCGACGGAACCCUUCGGGGGGAAGUCGACGGAAUGAGCGGCGGACGGGUGAGUAACACGUAAAGAACCUGCCCUCAGGUCUGGGAUAACCACGAGAAAUCGGGGCUAAUACCGGAUGGGUCAUCGGACCGCAUGGUCCGAGGAUGAAAGGCGCUUCGGCGUCGCCUGGGGAUGGCUUUGCGGUGCAUUAGCUAGUUGGUGGGGUAAUGGCCCACCAAGGCGACGGUGCAUAGCAGAGCGGAGGAGGUGAUCGGCCACACUGGGAAUGAGACACGGCCCAGACUCCUACGGGAGGCAGCAGUAGGGAAUCUUCCACAAUGGACGAAAGUCUGAUGGAGCAACGCCGCGUGAACGAUGAAGGCCUUCGGGUCGUAAAGUUCUGUUGUAAGGGAAGAACAAGUGCCGCAGGCAAUGGCGGCACCUUGACGGUACCUUGCGAGAAAGCCACGGCUAACUACGUGCCAGCCGCCGCAGUAA
Molecule: ribosomal RNA, 524 nt
Filed under: uncultured bacterium
Lineage: Bacteria
Description: partial 16S ribosomal RNA
Rfam family: Bacterial small subunit ribosomal RNA
Source: RNAcentral